This 253-nucleotide ribosomal RNA is filed under the name uncultured bacterium. RNAcentral describes it as "partial 16S ribosomal RNA". It matches the Rfam family "Bacterial small subunit ribosomal RNA", at positions 524 to 776 of the family's 1533-position model. The record is from RNAcentral.
UACGUAGGCAGCGAGCGUUGUUCGGAGUUACUGGGCGUAAAGCGUGCGUAGGCGGUCUUGUAAGUCUGUUGUGAAAUCUCCCGGCUCAACCGGGAGGGUGCGGUGGAAACUGCAGGGCUGGAGUAUGGGAGAGGUAGGCGGAAUUCCUGGUGUAGCGGUGAAAUGCGUAGAUAUCAGGAGGAACACCAGCGGUGUAGACGGCUUACUGGACCAUCACUGACGCUGAGGCACGAAAGCGUGGGGAGCAAACAGG